RNAcentral lists this transfer RNA (49 nucleotides) under Limnonectes khasianus (Khasi Hills frog). RNAcentral describes it as "partial tRNA-Val". The record is from RNAcentral. Lineage: Eukaryota; Metazoa; Chordata; Amphibia; Anura; Dicroglossidae.
GCUUCCCGCUUACACCGAGAAAAUAUCUGUGCAACCCAGAUUGUUUUGA